CCAGCAGGUGACCUGUUAAUAUUGUCGCUGUAGUUAAAAUAUUAAAGGAAAAUACUGAUUUAAUGACUCUCCUU
RNAcentral lists this small nucleolar RNA (74 nucleotides) under Notamacropus eugenii (tammar wallaby). Lineage: Eukaryota; Metazoa; Chordata; Mammalia; Diprotodontia; Macropodidae. The record is from RNAcentral.